GAUGAAGAACGCAGCGAAAUGCGAUAAGUAAUGUGAAUUGCAGAAUUCAGUGAAUCAUCGAAUCUUUGAACGCACAUUGCGCCCGCCAGUAUUCUGGCGGGCAUGCCUGUCUGAGCGUCAUUUCAACCCUCAAGCCCCCGGGCUUGGUGUUGGGGAUCGGCGAGCCUCCGCGCCCGCCGUCCCCUAAAUCUAGUGGCGGUCUCGCUGUAGCUUCCUCUGCGUAGUAGCACACCUCGCACUGGGAAACAGCGCGGCCACGCCGUUAAACCCCCAACUUCUGAACGUUUGACCUCGGAUCAGGUAGGAAUACCCGCUGAACUUAAGCAUAUCAAUAAGCGGAGGA
This 343-nucleotide unclassified non-coding RNA is filed under the name soil metagenome. RNAcentral's name for it is "partial contains 5.8S ribosomal RNA, internal transcribed spacer 2, and large subunit ribosomal RNA". The stretch from base 1 to 120 matches the Rfam family "5.8S ribosomal RNA", at positions 35 to 154 of the family's 154-position model. The record is from RNAcentral.